RNAcentral lists this long non-coding RNA (1674 nucleotides) under Drosophila guanche. Lineage: Eukaryota; Metazoa; Arthropoda; Insecta; Diptera; Drosophilidae. The record is from RNAcentral.
AUUCGAAUUGCGAAAAUGGUAAGUGCUAAUUGAUCUCAACCCAAUCCAUCUGAUCACCUAAUGGAGUCUCUACAGCAGUCUCUACGCCUAGAAUGGAGAGCCGUCCCUCGCAGACAUUCUUGAAGUGAAGUAUCAAGAUUUCAAGUUCGCAUCUAAAUUAAUCAAAUCGUAUCAAAAUUGCGUCGGCGAAUCCUCCACAGGCCACAGGAGGAGGAGGAGGAUCUGACAGGGUAAACGAAUAGUGCUCGACUUUCGAUCGAAACUCUCUAAAUCAAUCAAGUGGAAAAUUGCGUUUCGGAAAGAAUAUAUUUCGUAAAUAAAAAGGAGAAUCAAAGUAUAGAAUCAUAUCUUGUUUUAUUUUGAUGUUGUCGUAUGAUGUUUUUAUCAGAGCAUUGGGAUUCCAGAAGAAAGUCUUAGAAGUGUUUUCAAUUGAAAUAAUUUGUUGUGUGAGUGAAAUGUCAAUCUGUCAGCAUAUGCUAUGUUAACAUGUUAACAGUAUGUCUGUGCUGUUAGGCGCAUUUGCGCUCAACAGUACGCUGUUGUGCACAGCUGGUUGAAACGCAAAAAUGAGUCCAAGUGAAGUAUCAAGAUUUCAAGUUCGCAUCUAAAUUAAUCAAAUCGUAUCAAAAUUGCGUCGGCGAAUCCUCCACAGGACACAGGAGGAGGAGGAUCUGACAGGGUAAACGAAUAGUGCUCGACUUUCGAUCGAAACUCUCUAAAUCAAUCAAGUGGAAAAUUGCAUUUCGGAAUGAAUAUAUUUCGUAAAUAAAAAAGGAGAAUCAAAGUAUAGAAUCAUAUCUUGUUUUAUUUUGAUGUUGUCGUAUGAUGUUUUUAUCAGAGCAUUGGGAUUCCAGAAGAAAGUCUUAGAAGUGUUUUCAAUUGAAAUAAUUUGUUGUGUGAGUGAAAUGUCAAUCUGUCAGCAUAUGCUAUGUUAACAGUAUGUCUGUGCUGUUAGGCGCAUUUGCGCUCAACAGUACGCUGUUGUGCACAGCUGGUUGAAACGCAAAAAUGAGUCCAAGUGAAGUAUCAAGAUUUCAAGUUCGCAUCUAAAUUAAUCAAAUCGUAUCAAAAUUGCGUCGGCGAAUCCUCCACAGGACACAGGAGGAGGAGGAUCUGACAGGGUAAACGAAUAGUGCUCGACUUUCGAUCGAAACUCUCUAAAUCAAUCAAGUGGAAAAUUGCGUUUCGGAAAGAAUAUAUUUCGGAAAUAAAAAGGAGAAUCAAAGUAUAGAAUCAUAUCUUGUUUUAUUUUGAUGUUGUCGUAUGAUGUUUUUAUCAGAGCAUUGGGAUUCCAGAAGAAAGUCUUGGAAGUGUUUUCAAUUGAAAUAAUUUGUUGUGUGAGUGAAAUGUCAAUCUGUCAGCAUAUGCUAUGUUAACAGUAUGUCUGUGCUGUUAGGCGCAUUUGCGCUCAACAGUACGCUGUUGUGCACAGCUGGUUGAAACGCAAAAAUGAGUCCAAGUGAAGUAUGAAGAUUUCAAGUUCGCAUCUAAAUUAAUCAAAUCGUAUCAAAAUUGCGUCGGCGAAUCCUCCACAGGACACAGGAGGAGGAGGAUCUGACAGGGUAAACGAAUAGUGCUCGACUUUCGAUCGAAACUCUCUAAAUCAAUCAAGUGGAAAAUUGCAUUUCGGAAAGAAUAUAUUUCGUAAAUAAAAAGGAGAAUCAAAGUAUAGAA